Molecule: ribosomal RNA, 520 nt
Filed under: uncultured Glomus
Lineage: Eukaryota; Fungi; Glomeromycota; Glomeromycetes; Glomerales; Glomeraceae
Description: SSU rRNA
Rfam family: Eukaryotic small subunit ribosomal RNA
Source: RNAcentral
CGCAGCCGCGGUAAUUCCAGCUCCAAUAGCGUAUAUUAAAGUUGUUGCAGUUAAAAAGCUCGUAGUUGAAUUUCGGGAUCAAUUUAUUGGUCGUGCUAUUGUACGUACUGGUAUUAUUGAUUCCUACCUUCUGACGAACCAUGAUGUCAUUAAUUUGGUGUCUUGGGGAAUCAGGACUGUUACUUUGAAAAAAUUAGAGUGUUUAAAGCAGGCUCACGCUUGAAUACAUUAGCAUGGAAUAACGAAAUAGGACGUUUGAUUCUAUUUUGUUGGUUUCUAGGAUCGACGUAAUGAUUAAUAGGGAUAGUUGGGGGCAUUAGUAUUCAAUUGUCAGAGGUGAAAUUCUUGGAUUUAUUGAAGACUAACUACUGCGAAAGCAUUUGCCAAGGAUGUUUUCAUUAAUCAAGAACGAAAGUUAGGGGAUCGAAGACGAUCAGAUACCGUCGUAGUCUUAACCAUAAACUAUGCCGACUAGGGAUCGGAUGAUGUAAUUUUUAAUGACUCAUUCGGCGCCUUACGG